AUUGAACGCUGGCGGCAGGCCUAACACAUGCAAGUCGAGCGGAUGAAGGGAGCUUGCUCCUGGAUUCAGCGGCGGACGGGUGAGUAAUGCCUAGGAAUCUGCCUGGUAGUGGGGGAUAACGUCCGGAAACGGGCGCUAAUACCGCAUACGUCCUGAGGGAGAAAGUGGGGGAUCUUCGGACCUCACGCUAUCAGAUGAGCCUAGGUCGGAUUAGCUAGUUGGUGGGGUAAAGGCCUACCAAGGCGACGAUCCGUAACUGGUCUGAGAGGAUGAUCAGUCACACUGGAACUGAGAAAAGGUCCAGACUCCUAAGGGAGGCAGCAGUGGGGAAUAUUGGAAAAUGGGCGAAAGCCUGAUCCAGCCAUGCCGCGUGUGUGAAGAAGGUCUUCGGAUUGUAAAGCACUUUAAGUUGGGAGGAAGGGCAGUAAGUUAAUACCUUGCUGUUUUGACGUUACCAACAGAAUAAGCACCGGCUAACUUCGUG
RNAcentral lists this ribosomal RNA (484 nucleotides) under uncultured bacterium. Its description in RNAcentral is "partial 16S ribosomal RNA". It matches the Rfam family "Bacterial small subunit ribosomal RNA", at positions 30 to 507 of the family's 1533-position model. The record is from RNAcentral.